GGCUCAGAGCGAACGCUGGCGGCAGGCCUAACACAUGCAAGUCGAACGAACUCUUCGGAGUUAGUGGCGGACGGGUGAGUAACACGUGGGAACGUGCCUUUAGGUUCGGAAUAACUCAGGGAAACUUGUGCUAAUACCGAAUGUGCCCUUCGGGGGAAAGAUUUAUCGCCUUUAGAGCGGCCCGCGUCUGAUUAGCUAGUUGGUGAGGUAAAGGCUCACCAAGGCGACGAUCAGUAGCUGGUCUGAGAGGAUGAUCAGCCACAUUGGGACUGAGACACGGCCCAAACUCCUACGGGAGGCAGCAGUGGGGAAUCUUGCGCAAUGGGCGAAAGCCUGACGCAGCCAUGCCGCGUGAAUGAUGAAGGUCUUAGGAUUGUAAAAUUCUUUCGCCGGGGACGAUAAUGACGGUACCCGGAGAAGAAGCCCCGGCUAACUUCGUGCCAGCAGCCGCGGUAAUACGAAGGGGGCUAGCGUUGCUCGGAAUUACUGGGCGUAAAGGGAGCGUAGGCGGACAUUUAAGUCAGGGGUGAAAUCCCGGGGCUCAACCUCGGAAUUGCCUUUGAUACUGGGUGUCUUGAGUAUGAGAGAGGUGUGUGGAACUCCGAGUGUAGAGGUGAAAUUCGUAGAUAUUCGGAAGAACACCAGUGGCGAAGGCGACACACUGGCUCAUUACUGACGCUGAGGCUCGAA
RNAcentral lists this ribosomal RNA (690 nucleotides) under Brevundimonas nasdae. RNAcentral describes it as "bacterial SSU rRNA". It matches the Rfam family "Bacterial small subunit ribosomal RNA", at positions 21 to 757 of the family's 1533-position model. Lineage: Bacteria; Pseudomonadati; Pseudomonadota; Alphaproteobacteria; Caulobacterales; Caulobacteraceae. The record is from RNAcentral.